GAGUUUGAUUAUGGCUCAGGAUGAACGCUAGCGAUAGGCUUAACACAUGCAAGUCGAGGGGCAGCAUAGAAUCAGCUUGCUGAUUUAGAUGGCGACCGGCGGAUGGGUGCGUAACGCGUAUGCAACUUACCUGUCAGAGGGGGAUAACCCGGAGAAAUUCGGACUAAUACCGCAUAUACUUGAGAUACUGCAUGGUGUUUCAAGGAAAUAUUUAUAGCUGACAGAUAGGCAUGCGUUCCAUUAGCUGGUAGGUGAGGUAACGGCUCACCUAGGCUACGAUGGAUAGGGGAACUGAGAGGUUAAACCCCCACACUGGUACUGAGACACGGACCAGACUCCUACGGGAGGCAGCAGUGAGGAAUAUUGGUCAAUGGGCGAGAGCCUGAACCAGCCAAUUCGCGUGAAGGAUGACUGCCCUAUGGGUUGUAAACUUCUUUAGUAGGGGAUUAAAGUUUGCCUUGCGAGGCAAU
RNAcentral lists this ribosomal RNA (470 nucleotides) under Porphyromonas canoris. Its description in RNAcentral is "bacterial SSU rRNA". It matches the Rfam family "Bacterial small subunit ribosomal RNA", at positions 9 to 468 of the family's 1533-position model. The record is from RNAcentral. Lineage: Bacteria; Pseudomonadati; Bacteroidota; Bacteroidia; Bacteroidales; Porphyromonadaceae.